RNAcentral lists this ribosomal RNA (253 nucleotides) under uncultured bacterium. RNAcentral's name for it is "partial 16S ribosomal RNA". It matches the Rfam family "Bacterial small subunit ribosomal RNA", at positions 524 to 776 of the family's 1533-position model. The record is from RNAcentral.
UACGUAGGGGGCAAGCGUUGUCCGGAUUUAUUGGGCAUAAAGAGCGUGUAGGCGGCCAGGGAGGUCCGUUGUGAAAACUCGAGGCUCAACCUCGAGACGCCGAUGGAAACCCCCUGGCUAGAGUCCGGAAGAGGAGAGUGGAAUUCCUGGUGUAGCGGUGAAAUGCGCAGAUAUCAGGAAGAACACCCGUGGCUAAGGCGGCUCUCUAGUACGGUACUGACGCUGAGACGCGAAAGCGUGGGGAGCGAACAGG